UGGGGAAUCUUGGACAAUGGGGGCAACCCUGAUCCAGCCAUGCCGCGUGAGUGAUGAAGGCCUUAGGGUCGUAAAGCUCUUUCGCCUGUGAAGAUAAUGACGGUAGCCGGAGAAGAAGCCCCGGCUAACUCCGUGCCAGCAGCCGCGGUAAUACGGAGGGGGCUAGCGUUGUUCGGAAUUACUGGGCGUAAAGCGCGCGUAGGCGGUCUAAUCAGUCAGUGGUGAAAGCCCUGGGCUCAACCCAGGAAUUGCCUUUGAUACUGUUAGACUAGAGUUCGGGAGAGGAUAGUUGGAAUUCCCGAGUGUAGAGGUGAAAGUUCGUAGAUAUUGGGAAGAAUCACCAGUGGCGAGGCGGCUAUCUGGACCGAUACGUGACGCUGAGGCGCGAAAGCGUGGGGAGCAAACAGG
RNAcentral lists this ribosomal RNA (408 nucleotides) under uncultured bacterium. RNAcentral's name for it is "bacterial SSU rRNA". It matches the Rfam family "Bacterial small subunit ribosomal RNA", at positions 355 to 776 of the family's 1533-position model. The record is from RNAcentral.